GACGAACGCUGGCGGCGUGCUUAACACAUGCAAGUCGAACGGAAAGGCCCUGCUUUUGUGGGGUGCUCGAGUGGCGAACGGGUGAGUAACACGUGAGUAACCUGCCCUUGACUUUGGGAUAACUUCAGGAAACUGGGGCUAAUACCGGAUAGGAGCUCCUGCUGCAUGGUGGGGGUUGGAAAGUUUCGGCGGUUGGGGAUGGACUCGCGGCUUAUCAGCUUGUUGGUGGGGUAGUGGCUUACCAAGGCUUUGACGGGUAGCCGGCCUGAGAGGGUGACCGGCCACAUUGGGACUGAGAUACGGCCCAGACUCCUACGGGAGGCAGCAGUGGGGAAUAUUGCACAAUGGGCGGAAGCCUGAUGCAGCAACGCCGCGUGCGGGAUGACGGCCUUCGGGUUGUAAACCGCUUUCGCCUGUGACGAAGCGUGAGUGACGGUAAUGGGUAAAGAAGCACCGGCUAACUACGUGCCAGCAGCCGCGGUGAUACGUAGGGUGCGAGCGUUGUCCGGAUUUAUUGGGCGUAAAGGGCUCGUAGGUGGUUGAUCGCGUCGGAAGUGUAAUCUUGGGGCCUAACCCUGAGCGUGCUUUCGAUACGGGUUGACUUGAGGAAGGUAGGGGAGAAUGGAAUUCCUGGUGGAGCGGUGGAAUGCGCAGAUAUCAGGAGGAACACCAGUGGCGAAGGCGGUUCUCUGGGCCUUUCCUGACGCUGAGGAGCGAAAGCGUGGGGAGCGAACAGGCUUAGAUACCCUGGUAGUCCACGCUGUAAACGGUGGGUACUAGGUGUGGGGUCCAUUCCACGGGUUCCGUGCCGUAGCUAACGCUUUAAGUACCCCGCCUGGGGAGUACGGCCGCAAGGCUAAAACUCAAAGGAAGGGGCGGGGCCCCGCACAAGCGGCGGAGCAUGCGGAUUAAUUCGGUGCAACGCGUAGAACCUUACCUGGGUUGACAUGGAUCGGGAAUGCUCAGAGAUGGGUGUGCCUCUUUUGGGGUCGGUUCACAGGUGGUGCAUGGCUGUCGUCAGCUCGUGUCGUGAGAGGUUGGGUUAAGUCCCGCAACGAGCGCAACCCUUGUUCACUGUUGCCAGCGCGUUAUGGUGGGGACUCAGUGGAGACCGCCGGGGUCAACUCGGAGGAAGGUGGGGAUGACGUCAAGUCAUCAUGCCCCUUAUGUCCAGGGCUUCACGCAUGCUACAAUGGCUGGUACAGAGAGUGGCGAGCCUGUGAGGGUGAGCGAAUCUCGGAAAGCCGGUCUCAGUUGGGAUUGGGGUCUGCAACUCGACCUCAUGAAGUCGGAGUCGCUAGUAAUCGCAGAUCAGCAACGCUGCGGUGAAUACGUUCCCGGGGCU
This 1345-nucleotide ribosomal RNA is filed under the name uncultured bacterium. Its description in RNAcentral is "bacterial SSU rRNA". It matches the Rfam family "Bacterial small subunit ribosomal RNA", at positions 28 to 1381 of the family's 1533-position model. The record is from RNAcentral.